CCCGCCCUACGUGGUCCUUUGAGCCGGCCGGCUUGCCGCCACGCUAAACAAGGUUGCUAAAAGGUCGGGGCCGCGCAGCG
Molecule: non-coding RNA, 80 nt
Filed under: Ancylobacter novellus
Lineage: Bacteria; Pseudomonadati; Pseudomonadota; Alphaproteobacteria; Hyphomicrobiales; Xanthobacteraceae
Also listed under: 1 other name
Source: RNAcentral